CCUACGGGUGGCAGCAGUGAGGAAUAUUGGUCAAUGGGCGCGAGCCUGAACCAGCAAAGUAGCGUGAAGGAUGAAUGCCCUACGGGUUGUAAACGUCUGUUAUAAAGGAAUAAAGUGAGGCACGUGUGCCUUUUUGUAUGUACCUUAUGAAUAAGGAUCGGCUAACUCCGUGCCAGCAGCCGCGGUAAGACGGAGGAUCCGAGCGUUAUCCGGCUUUAUUGGGUUUAAAGGGAGCGUAGAUGGGUUGUUAAGUCAGUUGUGAAAGUUUGCGGCUCAACCGUAAAAUUGCAAUUGAUACUGGCAGCCUUGAGUACAGUUGAGGUAGGCGGAAUUCGUUGUGUAGCGGUGAAAUGCUUAGAUAUCACGAAGAACUCCGAUUGCGAAGGCAGCCUACUAAACUGCCACUGACAUUGAUGCUCGAAAGUGUGGGUAUCAAACAGGAUUAGAUACCCGAGUAGUC
Molecule: ribosomal RNA, 460 nt
Filed under: uncultured bacterium
Lineage: Bacteria
Description: partial 16S ribosomal RNA
Rfam family: Bacterial small subunit ribosomal RNA
Source: RNAcentral